Vespa crabro (European hornet) is the source of this 7750-nucleotide long non-coding RNA. RefSeq lists it as uncharacterized. The transcript has 4 exons. NCBI's taxonomy places the organism in Eukaryota, Metazoa, Arthropoda, Insecta, Hymenoptera, Vespidae. The record is from RefSeq and is a predicted model, not a curated record.
UAAAAAAGAAAAAAGAAAAAAAAGUACAACCUAAACACGUCAACGUACCUAAUCCUGUCGAAAAUCACUGGAUUUUUUAUGUUAUUACAACGUUUUAUGCCGAGCGUUCUAUCGACUUUCUUGCUCUCCUUAUAGUCUUGAUUUUUCUCCAUUAUUUUUUAUUCUUUAAAACGUCUCAUUAAUUAAUUAAUUAUUAAAGCGACUCUCGUUCUAACUCACCAACGAACAUAUUCUAUCUGUCUUGUUUGUUCAAUAUAGUUACCACGUUAGGCGUUGCCAACGUAGAAUUUGUCACGAGAUUUAAAUCCUAUUCUUAAUAUUUUAUACCAGGUCGAGUAAUCGAUGAAAAAAAGAAAAAGGAGACAUUUUUAUAUUCUCCUUUCACAAAGAAAAUAUCUUUUUUCUCUCUGGGAAGCACGAAGACAUCAGUUGUUUACAUCGAAUAUCGACCAAUAGCGAGAGCUAAAUAUAGAUGAAUCACAAGCCAUGUUCCUUAAGAAAAGCCGAAGGCUAAGGGAUACCGCGGACUCGUAAAUCGAGAAAGCGUUUAAUCUUCGCCGCGGUUGUAACCCGUUGAUAGCAGCGAGGCGAGCGAGGGCGUAGACUUGGCUUAAGCCUCUAGGAAAUAAUCAAAGCGGCGAUAUAAGCACCGACUAAGCUGGGUAUGUGUAUGUGUUGGAAGUUACGAGACUCGGUGUUAUAUCGGUGCGACUUCAUCGUGUAACACACGAAGGAAGCACGAGGAAGGUCGCAAAGGAGGAGAAGGAGACGUCGAUAGAGUUCUCUCUCUCUCUCUCUCUAUCUCUUUCUCACGACGAACAUAAAUGGUGAGAGGAAGAGAGAGGAAGAGGAGAAGUGGAUCUGCAGAGUGCAAUGCGCCGAGAUUACGACUAAUCUGCGCCCGAGACCGCUCGGAAGCGUAGUUUCUGUAAGUUACAUUGCUUAAAGCGUCAGCUCGUUGAACCCCUCGAACUUCGACGACGGCUACAACCUCCGAGCUUCCUCCUUUAACUCUUCUCUUCUUAGUAGCCUCCGGUAUUCGAUGGAAUAAUAACAGGAGAAUCCGAUCCAACGACUUGGGAGACUCGUUACCGCAGGAAUUAUACGAUGUUGGGUCCGUAGGGAUAAAAGCUAAUAAUAGUAUAAAAGGGACUCAAAUGCAUAUGUAGAACCAGUAACUUUUCUUAUAAAGAUCAAAUACAAUUUUCGGAUAUUGGAUGGAUGGAAAGAAAAGCCUCCCUUUCCUGUCGCUUCUCCUCUGAUCGGAUCUUUGUAUGCAGCCAUCUUCGUGUAAUGAGUCCCGAGGUAAUCGAUAUUAUUUGUGAAUUAAUAUCCAUGUAAAUAUUCGUCUAAUUAUUAUCCUUAUUUAAUAUUACAUCUCUCUUUCAUUUUCUUAAAAAAUUCUACAAGAUUUUCACUCGAAGCAACCUUGAUAUUCUUCGCAUGCGGCACGAUCAAGGCUAUUUGGUCUUAAGGCCCUCCGAGCAGUUUCAGAAAGACAGAAAGGGGAAGAGAGACGAUGCACGCUGAGUCGAUGGCCAAGCACGAUGGCCAAGCACGAUGCCCUUAAGUUGCCUCCUUCUUUGCCUCUUCCUUCUCCUUCUCUUUCUUCUACGUAAGUACGUUCAUACGAAUGGAUGGACGAAGGAACAGUGACUGUGACUGACAGAGUUGAACGCGCGAGCGCAUUCGGCCACGGACGGAAAAAGAAUGAGUCGAGCACGCGAGCCCGAGUCGAAUGGCUUCGUUGAAUGGGUUUAAACGGGCGCGUCGCGUCCCGUGAGAAAUGAAAAUCACCGACGGUGACGAGGCUCGUGUCUCGCUUUCAGCCGCUCGCAUAUUACCCGGGUAUCCGCUUUAUUAUUUAUGAAAUAUGGCCAGCUAUAUGAGAGAGUGAGAAAGAAGAAGAUAAACGUACGUGGUUGUACGAUGAGGAACUAGUCGUUGUCGACUGAACGACUUUGGUAAAACCGGAGAAGAAAGAGGAGGAAGAUAAAUAGGAGAGACCGUGCUUGAAAAAGAGCUAAAUUUGCCGAUUCUUUUAUUUACUUAUUUAUUUAUUAUUAUUAUUAUUUUUUUUUUCUAUUUUUUCUAUAUAUCUUUCAACUCAGAUCAUUUUUCCUUUCUAAUGAAAAAUAAUUCUAAACAGCAGGUCAACGAGAUAGAACAAUCGAAGAAAAUGAAAUGCCAAUUUCAGGAAAGUAGAGGAAGAAUUCACAUUAGGAAGGAGCAUACCUUACAUAUUUAAAGGUAACAUUAAGCUACUUCACAGAACAACGAGUCGAGUUCGAUUCUUCGUGUCACGAUCAAAGUUCAAGUCGAGACUUACACGUCGAUUGUGUCUCGGGACCAUCCCUGUUCUUUCUCAUACAUAUGUAUAUACAUACAUACGUACGUCUGUUCGUUGUUGUCUGUUGCCCCAGCGCACUCGAAGAGAACGCAUAGCCGUCUGGCCCCGGUAAAGGGUCUCUGACCGAUUAUCACUUGGUCUUUAUGGUCUUUGAGGUUCUUUUAAACCUCCGUCCCGUUUCUCCGCUCCUUAACCCUCCCCUCCCCCUUCCUCUUCAUCUUCGUCCCUUCAUCCUUGUCGGCCUUCUCUCGCUCUCUCACAUGCACACACACACACACAUGCACGCACGCACAUGCACGCACGCACGCACGCAUGCAUGUCAGCUCGCGUACGCUUCGCGUUUUUGUCUUUGUUCUUUCAUCGACCGAUUCUCCUUCCUUUCCCUUCGUCUCGUGAUCCAGCGGCAGUUUCUUUUUGUUUUUCUUUUUGUUAGCCACGACCCACAGUGACUGUCUUUUACGUUCGGCAUUGCGAAAAGCGUUCUUUCGCUUUUAUAAUUUUUUAAUUCUAUUUGAAAUUUUUCAAUGGUUUCCAAAUGUGUCUGUAAACAUUUUUUAAAGCUUCGAUAUAACACAAAUCUUACACAAAAUUUAUUUACCCUAGCUGAAAGAAGCUAUUCGGUUGUUCAAGCGGCGAACUAAUACUUUUGUGAUAGAUAGUCAAAGAAUUUAGAAGAAUAUUAUAAAUGAUCGAUGUUAGAAAAAGUCCUUUUUACGCAAUUAAAGUUACAUAGUUUGUUAUGAAUGGUUGGUAACUCAUGUGCUUGGUAUUCAUGUACAUGUGUGCAAUGUGGAAGCUAGCAAGAGAGUUUUUGUCGCCUACCUUGGUAUUUAAAGCAGGUCUUUUCCAAGAUAUUAUAUAGGUUAGUUUGUCGACUUAUAUAGGUCAGUAGUGUCCGCGCGUAUGUAGGUUAAAGCCUUCAUCGCCGAGCUCGAUUCGAGGUAUUCCCGUGGAAUUGUCCUGGAAAAUUUGUGCGCAAAUAAGCGAUAGAGAUUUUUUUUCUUCUAUUUUAGUAUUAAAAGGCGCUUUUCCCCAAGAAAUUAUAUAAGUAAAUGGGCCAAUUCCUUUUCUCAUGAUUUAUAUAGGUUAAUAGUAUAUAGGUUAGGAUCUCGUUUCUCAUCAUAUUCUUUUCUUCUUCGAGAAACUGAUAGAAUCCAUAAUAAAUAUUCCAAAUUAUUUUUUAUAUUCCUUUGAUACCAUUACAUGAGUAUAUGGAUUAACCAUUAAUGAAUUAGAUACAUUUUUUUUCGAGAUUGUCGAGAUUAAUUGGGAAUCUUUUUGACUCGCGAGGUUUAAAAGAUAGAAGAAGGCCUACGUUCGUUUCGCGAUAAUUAAAAGCGCAUAUAUUUCAAUUAUUUUCAUAGAAGUAACAAUAGUCGUGCGUACUCCAUCGUCAUAAUUCGUAUUAAUAAAAUUAUUUAAGAUCGUUUUUCUAUUAAAUUUCAUAUUACAAAAGGCUGAUUUUUAAUAAAAGCUUGAGAAAGUAAUAAUUUAUUUAUUGGAACGUAAUUAUCGAAAGUGGACGUAGUGCGCAUGCCCGGCGUAGUGUUAUCGUUUUGCCGGUAAAAACUACGCCAUCGGUUGGUUUGUGCUAGAGCUCCGCGUAUCGUUCUCAUCAAUUACAGGUAAAUUAGCAUACUUUUUUUCUAACGUACACCUUUUUCCUCCAUAUCUAUCGAUUUCUUAAAACGCUUUUUUUAACACGUAUCGUUAGCAAGUCGGAUCAUCGUCGCAUUUAAGGGUUAUUCGAAAAAAUAAAAUCGGCUUUUUCCCUGUCGUACUUUUACAUCGUACUUUUUUCUCUCUCGAAUAUAUUCUCCUUAUUUUUACGAUAUCGAUACUUUUCUCACCUUUUAACGAUCGAUCAUUUUGCCUUAAUACCACUGCUCGAUCUUUUACGACUUUAUUUAACUCUUAUAUUUUCAACUUCGGAUUUAUCAAUAAUGCAUUGGAGUGAAUUUUAAUGGUAAAUAUAUCGUAGUGAUUAUGAAAUUCGUUAUAUCUACAAGUUAUAGGAAAAAAUUAGAUCGAUUAAUUAUUUCGGAAUAGUUGUGUAAACACUUUUUCGGAAUAAUAAAGGAUCCACGGUUUUUUUUUUGUCAAAUAGGUUAGGAGUAAAGUCGUGAUCGACGAAUUAGUCUACAAUCGACCACAAUCGAAAGAAAGCUCAUCGAAUGCGACUAAUAAUAUUAUACGAUGCCUAGCCUAUAGUUAAUUUAUAUGCGGCAACCUUCACGUAGUUAAUCAUCUGCCUCUGUAUUAUUUGCGAUCUACCGCUAUAAUAUUUCGGUACGUUUAUAAAAUAUCUUUUUCUAAAUGUAUCUACGCACUAUACAACUUAUAUUAAGCGCUAUUAAUUAUACUUAAAGAAAUAUAAUAUUUCUUUAAAUCGAAAUUCGAUCGAAGUAUUUACUAUUCCAAUUAAAUUCAGGAUUCAUCUAUUCUUUAUAAAUUUUGCGUGAUAGAGAUCUUAAAGAGAGGAUUUAGAGGAGAAAGUGAGCGAUGAAUAAUCGUAAGAAUUGUUAUUGUUAUUGGUGUAGGUAUCAACCGUGAAAUUUUAUCCAGUGACCUCGAAGAGGAUGACGCGUGGACCGGCUCGAAAGGUCGUCGAAGGUUGAUAAUAACGGGAAUCGGUUGGACGGUCCUCUCACCACUUAACUGCUGCCUACGUUUCUUUAAAUAGAGCGUAGUUCUCGGGUGACCGUGUCGGUUCCGCGAACUCGCCGGCCGAUUCCAAGUACGUCGUCGCUAUGGAAUGUCGCUGGCUUUGCUAAUACAUUUUUGCAUUUGCUAUCUCUACCAGCACUGAACGAGAAAAGGAAGAGGAAGUGGAAGAGGAAGACUGCUCUCCCACCUUCAACGAGUCGAUUCGCCUCAGGCGUUUCAAUCAACGCGAAUACUUACCGUCGUUGCAUGAGUUGCUUCUCUCCCUCCCUCCCUCCCUCCCUCCCUCCCUCUCGGUCUCUCUCCUCACUAUUCCAAAGAUGACCCCACGAAUGGAAACGUAGACUCGAGACGGAGGUGAUCCUCCUCUUCUUACGAUUACGAGUCCGUACAGCAAGGUCAAAGUACGUUUAUCGGCAAGAGAUAGGAUUUCCUGCUGUCGUCUGCCCAGACGAGGAUUGUAUUGCCAAUAUUUAUUGCAUACAGAGUGUGAAUCGUGUAAUACGAUCAAUUGGGAAUUGUUUUUCCUGAGGAAUUUGCAUCGUCGGUAAAAUUCUUAGAGACUCGCCAAAAGAGAGAAAACCGAUGGAAUCCUUCAAUAAGCAAGAAGUUAUCGAGUCGUGGUACUUUUCGUCCGGUUGAAUUCUCUCUCUCUGUCUCUUAGUCGCAGUGACGUUCUCGUUUUCUAAAGAAGAAAUAAUAGGAGCUGUGACGUCGAUACCACCGGCUCUUAGAAAGGGUAGUAAAGGAGAGGGAGGGAGGCAUUCGAGGGGUGAGAAACAAAGGUUUUCAUCCGUCGAGACCCAUAACCAAGUACGCAUAUCGUGUCGUGCGACUUUUAAUAUAUUCCACAAUUAACCUUACUAAUAAAUUAUUGCUCUACCGACUUCUCGUUGGUAAGAAACCAAUGAGUACAAUCAUAUCACGUGACCCCAAGCCACGUUGGAUUAUCCGACAGUUCGCAGUGCCCUUGAAAGCAGUCAUUUAUAAUAUUUUCUUAGAUAGACGCGUUAGCUGGUCAUGUGUUUCGAUCAAUGAACUUUCCCUAAUGCCUUCUAUGCAUGUAAAUAGUAAGACAUAUAGAAAUCGAGUAACUUGGCGAAGUAAAUAAUGAAAAUAGAGAGCGAGAGAGAGAGAGAGAGAGAGAGAGAGAGAGAGAGAGAGAGAGAGAGAGAGAGAGAGAGAAAACAAGAAAGAAACUAAGGAAGGAAGGAAAAACGAAUCGGGUCGCGUUGGGUCAUUCGCCAGGAAAUCAGUCAACCGGUUUCGUCGUCGUCGUCGUCGUCGUCGUCGUUGAGAGGGAAAGAGACGACGUAGAUGAAGAGGUUGAAACAUAGAGUAAGCAUAGAGAAAGAAGAUGGAGAGGAAAGAGAAGAGAGGAGAGAAUAGGUAUCGGCGUGAGUACUUCUCCCCUCUUUUCGCGUAGCGUCUCUUUUCCUCCUUUUCUCUCUGACUCUUCUCUUUUCUGUUGUUAGUUCCCUUGUCGAGGGAACGAAAAAGAGCGAAAAGCUACGAGGGUUGCCGAGUAAAGACGAGAAGCAACGAGGAGAUACGAGGAAGACCGAGGAGAGUCGCGCACCGCGGCGCUGAACGCAGUGCCAUCCGAUAGGCAGCACCGCUUGCUCCGUGGAUCCUUCGCUUCGCUCGCUCGUACGGAAGCCCUGGUUCUCUCUUCGUGCUCUCCCACCUUUUUUCUCUUUCCCUCUCUCUCUUUUUUUUCCUUCCUUCUCUCUCUCUCUCUGUUUUUAUCAGAGAGAGAGGGAGAGAGAGACGAGCAAGCUUCCUCAUUUCUCGCGUCUCUUUCUCUUUCGAUAGUCGAAGUAAUAUUAUCGUGGGCCUUGGUGCGCCUUUUUGUUGUCGUUCGUUCGUUCGUUGCUCACACGCACGCACGCACGCACGCACGCACGCAUGCACGCACGCAGCGUGAACGAUUUCGCACGAUAAUACACAAAUAUAUACAUAUGUAUAGGAGUAAUACAUAGACGCAGUGAAUCUUACGCGACGCGCGUCUCUCUCUCUCCCUCUCUCUCUCUCUCUUUCUCUCUGUCUUUCUCUCUCUUUGAUCUCUCUUUCGUGGCCUGGAAAACACGGAGAUUCACAUGGUGUGGACGUCAUCGUUGUCAUCGUCGUCAACGUCAUCGUCGCAAUCUAUCUUCCAUCAUCGUGCUGUGAUCGUCGCUGUGUAUCGUUGUUGAUGAUCAUCGCCGUCCGUACCGUUGCGUACACGCACACACAUGUAUUAGGCAUCGUCGACGUGAGGAGAACCACCCCCUCCCCUUGCAGCUCAUCAAGGAGCGGACGCGUGCUGGUCAACACGGUAAAUUCAAUAGAUCCAUAUCCCGAAGGAAACGCGUAUCUCCCGUGCCAUCAGAGAGAAAAGCUUGCAAUAGCAAUUGGCGAGAUAUCGGAAGAAGAGAAGGAAAGAAAGAAGGAAGAAGAGGAAAGAAAAGGAAAGAGGAAAGAAGAAAAAGGAUGCAAAGUAACAGAGGAUCCUUUGGAUUUCUCGAGGAUUAUCGUUCUAUCAUUCUCGAAUGUAUUGAUCGUCUUUGUUCGCGAUGAUGGAGGAAACAAAGCCGAUACUUUUCUUAAUUAUCAGAGAGACCGGAGGACGCAGGUAUUUCGAUAUCGGCUCGGUGAUAGAUAAAUGUCAGUUUUUACUCGGAUAACAAGAUCCUCGGGAAGAGGAAUUGGAAUAAAAAGAAGAGGAAGAAGGGAGAGUCGGUGACGAGUAUUGGA